RNAcentral lists this ribosomal RNA (428 nucleotides) under uncultured bacterium. RNAcentral's name for it is "bacterial SSU rRNA". It matches the Rfam family "Bacterial small subunit ribosomal RNA", at positions 355 to 775 of the family's 1533-position model. The record is from RNAcentral.
UGGGGAAUAUUGGACAAUGGGCGAAAGCCUGAUCCAGCGACGCCGCGUGUCGGAAGGAGUCCUUCGGGAUGUAAACGACUUUUGGUGGAGACGAAUAAGCAGCUCAGGGAAUGGGGCUGUGAUGACGGUAUCCAUGGAAUAAGCCCCGGCUAACUACGUGCCAGCAGCCGCGGUAAGACGUAGGGGGCAAGCGUUACCCGGAAUUACUGGGCGUAAAGGGAGCGUAGGCGGGAGGUCAAGUCCGGUGUGAAAGACCCUGGCUCAACCAGGGAGGAGGGCUGGAAACUGACAAGCUUGAGUACAGCAGAGGAAGAGGGGAUUACCGGUGUAGGGGUGAAAUCCGUAGAGACCGGUAAGAAGGCCAGUGGCGAAGGCGCUUUUCUGGGCUGUUACUGACGCUGAGGCUCGAAAGCCAGGGGAGCAAACCG